RNAcentral lists this ribosomal RNA (544 nucleotides) under uncultured fungus. RNAcentral's name for it is "eukaryotic LSU rRNA". The stretch from base 174 to 327 matches the Rfam family "5.8S ribosomal RNA". The record is from RNAcentral. Lineage: Eukaryota; Fungi.
UCCGUAGGUGAACCUGCGGAAGGAUCAUUACCUAGAGUUUGUAGACUUCGGUCUGCUACCUCUUACCCAUGUCAUUUGAGUACCUUCGUUUCCUCGGCGGGUCCGCCCGCCGAUUGGACAACAUUCAAACCCUUUGCAGUUGCAAUCAGCGUCUGAAAAAACAUAAUAGUUACAACUUUCAACAACGGAUCUCUUGGUUCUGGCAUCGAUGAAGAACGCAGCGAAAUGCGAUAAGUAGUGUGAAUUGCAGAAUUCAGUGAAUCAUCGAAUCUUUGAACGCACAUUGCGCCCCUUGGUAUUCCAUGGGGCAUGCCUGUUCGAGCGUCAUUUGUACCUUCAAGCUCUGCUUGGUGUUGGGUGUUUGUCUCGCCUCUGCGUGUAGACUCGCCUUAAAACAAUUGGCAGCCGGCGUAUUGAUUUCGGAGCGCAGUACAUCUCGCGCUUUGCACUCAUAACGACGACGUCCAAAAGUACAUUUUUACACUCUUGACCUCGGAUCAGGUAGGGAUACCCGCUGAACUUAAGCAUAUCAAUAAGCGGAGGA